UACGGAGGGGGUUAGCGUUGUUCGGAAUUACUGGGCGUAAAGCGCACGUAGGCGGACUGGAAAGUUGGGGGUGAAAUCCCGGGGCUCAACCUCGGAACUGCCUUCAAAACUCCCAGUCUUGAGGUCGAGAGAGGUGAGUGGAAUUCCGAGUGUAGAGGUGAAAUUCGUAGAUAUUCGGAGGAACACCAGUGGCGAAGGCGGCUCACUGGCUCGAUACUGACGCUGAGGUGCGAAAGCGUGGGGAGCAAACAGG
Molecule: ribosomal RNA, 253 nt
Filed under: uncultured bacterium
Lineage: Bacteria
Description: partial 16S ribosomal RNA
Rfam family: Bacterial small subunit ribosomal RNA
Source: RNAcentral